This 478-nucleotide ribosomal RNA is filed under the name uncultured bacterium. Its description in RNAcentral is "partial 16S ribosomal RNA". It matches the Rfam family "Bacterial small subunit ribosomal RNA", at positions 28 to 523 of the family's 1533-position model. The record is from RNAcentral.
GACGAACGCUGGCGGCGUGCUUAACACAUGCAAGUCGAACGGUAAGGCCCUUCGGGGUACACGAGUGGCGAACGGGUGAGUAACACGUGGGUGAUCUGCCCUGCACUUCGGGAUAAGCCUGGGAAACUGGGUCUAAUACCGGAUAGGACUCCUGGCUUCAUGGUUGGGGGUGGAAAGCUUUUGCGGUGUGGGAUGGGCCCGCGGCCUAUCAGCUUGUUGGGGGGGUAAUGGCCUACCAAGGCGACGACGGGUAGCCGGCCUGAGAGGGUGACCGGUCACACUGGGACUGAGAUACGGCCCAGACUCCUACGGGAGGCAGCAGUGGGGAAUAUUGCACAAUGGGCGCAGGCCUGAUGCAGCGACGCCGCGUGAGGGAUGACGGCCUUCGGGUUGUAAACCUCUUUCAGCUAUGACGAAGCGCAAGUGACGGUAGUAGCAGAAGAAGGACCGGCCAACUACGUGCCAGCAGCCGCGGUAA